GACGAACGCUGGCGGCGUGCUUAACACAUGCAAGUCGAACGAGAGGAGAAGGAAGCUUGCUUCUUUCAAAUCUAGUGGCAAACGGGUGAGUAACACGUAAACAACCUGCCUUCAGGAUGGGGACAACAGACGGAAACGGCUGCUAAUACCGCAUGACAUAUAUUAAGGGCAUCCUUGAUAUAUCAAAGAUUUUAUCGCUGAAAGAUGGCCUCGCGUCCGAUUAGAUAGUUGGCGGGGCAAACGGCCCACCAAGUCGACGAUCGGUAGCCGGACUGAGAGGUUGACCGGCCACAUUGGGACUGAGAUACGGCCCAGACUCCUACGGGAGGCAGCAGUGGGGAAUAUUGGGCAAUGGACGCAAGUCUGACCCAGCAACGCCGCGUGAAGGAAGAAGGCUUUCGGUUGUAAACUUCUUUAAGGGGUAACGAGUAGAAGAGGGU
This 440-nucleotide ribosomal RNA is filed under the name uncultured bacterium. Its description in RNAcentral is "bacterial SSU rRNA". It matches the Rfam family "Bacterial small subunit ribosomal RNA", at positions 28 to 460 of the family's 1533-position model. The record is from RNAcentral.